GACGAUAAAGGCAAACCCUGAGCAAUCAGGGGACGCAAAGCCACAGUCCCGGUAGUUUUUGCCGGGAAGCUGGGUUGCCGAAC
This 83-nucleotide non-coding RNA is filed under the name Elusimicrobiota bacterium. RNAcentral's name for it is "Elusimicrobia bacterium c-di-GMP sequence". It matches the Rfam family "c-di-GMP-I-GGC riboswitch aptamer". Lineage: Bacteria; Pseudomonadati; Elusimicrobiota. The record is from RNAcentral.